AAACAAAAGCAUAGUACCAGCAUCUGCUGGUGAGGACCUCAGGAGGCUUCCACUCAUGGCGGAAGGUGAAGGAGGAGCCGGCAUGUCACUUGUUGAGAAGAAGGAGCAACGGAGAGAGGAGGAGAACCACCUAAGCUAAAGAUUCUUUUGAGAACAAGGGCUAGCCUGUGGUUUCAUGGCCUUUCUUCCAUUUGGGGUUCUUGCCAAGUGGAAUUUAAAUGACCUCUUAUCAAGAUGGAUAAACCCAAGUUUCCCAGUGCUGGAAUACAGAAAAUGGAUGGACAAGAUGUCUUUUUGUCACUUCCAGCUGGAUCUACCAUGAAAGACGUCAGAGUCCAGGAAGAGAGACUGACUGGGCAACAUGUUAUUCAGAAUUAGAGAAGAUGAUGUGGUGAUGGAAGAAGAGGUCAGAGAGGGAGAUUUGAAGAUGUUGCAGUUCUGGCCUUCAAGAUGGAGUCAGGGGCUAUCUUCAAGAGAGAAGAUCUUGAUCUGUGGCCCAGGCUGCAGUACAGUG
This 514-nucleotide long non-coding RNA is filed under the name Homo sapiens (human). RNAcentral describes it as "HSALNT0341370". Lineage: Eukaryota; Metazoa; Chordata; Mammalia; Primates; Hominidae. The record is from RNAcentral.